Molecule: transfer RNA, 90 nt
Filed under: Acidobacteriota bacterium
Lineage: Bacteria; Pseudomonadati; Acidobacteriota
Also listed under: 3 other names
Description: Acidobacteria bacterium tRNA-Ser
Rfam family: tRNA
About the family: Transfer RNA (tRNA) molecules are approximately 80 nucleotides in length. Their secondary structure includes four short double-helical elements and three loops (D, anti-codon, and T loops). Further hydrogen bonds mediate the characteristic L-shaped molecular structure. tRNAs have two regions of fundamental functional importance: the anti-codon, which is responsible for specific mRNA codon recognition, and the 3' end, to which the tRNAs corresponding amino acid is attached (by aminoacyl-tRNA synthetases). tRNAs cope with the degeneracy of the genetic code in two manners: having more than one tRNA (with a specific anti-codon) for a particular amino acid; and 'wobble' base-pairing, i.e. permitting non-standard base-pairing at the 3rd anti-codon position.
Source: RNAcentral
GGAGAGGUGCCUGAGUGGUCGAAAGGGGCCGCCUGCUAAGCGGUUAACCGGGGUCAACCCGGUUCGAGGGUUCAAAUCCCUUCCUCUCCG